CCUGGAUCAGAAACUCUUCUCUCCAGUUGUUGAGAUUGUCAAAUGAUUUCAUGGAGUUGACAUCAUACACAAGAACACAGCAAUCAGCACCCCGGUAAAAAGCUACACCAAGGCUCUGAAACCUUUCCUGUCCAGCUGUAUCCCAGAUCUGUAAUAACCCAUCCAUUGACAGAAACAAACAGAAACAAAACCACAUGAAAUUAUCCUAGUGCCUUGUCUUAUUCAGAACUAAUUACUGAUUGCAUGACACUAGCACAAAAGUAUGUCAAUAUUAUUAUAGGAAGCAUGAUUCACGAGAAAGGUAAGCCUGGAAGUGUCUGGCAGAAACUGAUUAGGUACUUGGCGUUUUUUAAACCAACACCUCGCAUAGUCAAAAAAAUAUCUAUUGAAUAUACAAACUACAGCAGCAAAAGCAAAAUUAAUGUAAUUCAGUGAUUAAAGCUCAAGUAAGAACCUGUAAAGUGAAAAGACGAUCUUCAAACUGGACUUCCUUAGUCAAGAAGUCAGCUCCAAUGGUGGCCUUGUACUGGUUGCUGAACUUUUUAUUAACAUAUCUGAAGUUAAUCGUGUUAAACCAAAAACAAAAGCGAAAACUCAUCUGACUUCGAGAAAGAUCCAGCCAAAUCAUUAAACAAACUACUACAGUAUUACUUGUUAGUCCAUUGGAAA
Long non-coding RNA from Brassica rapa (field mustard), 669 nucleotides. RefSeq lists it as uncharacterized. Lineage: Eukaryota; Viridiplantae; Streptophyta; Magnoliopsida; Brassicales; Brassicaceae. The record is from RefSeq and is a predicted model, not a curated record.